GAUGAACGCUAGCGGCGUGCCUAAUACAUGCAAGUCGAGCGAACAGACGAGGAGCUUGCUCCUCUGACGUUAGCGGCGGACGGGUGAGUAACACGUGGAUAACCUACCUAUAAGACUGGGAUAACUUCGGGAAACCGGAGCUAAUACCGGAUAACAUGUUGAACCGCAUGGUUCAACAGUGAAAGACGGUUUUGCUGUCACUUAUAGAUGGAUCCGCGCCGCAUUAGCUAGUUGGUAAGGUAACGGCUUACCAAGGCAACGAUGCGUAGCCGACCUGAGAGGGUGAUCGGCCACACUGGAACUGAGACACGGUCCAGACUCCUACGGGAGGCAGCAGUAGGGAAUCUUCCGCAAUGGGCGAAAGCCUGACGGAGCAACGCCGCGUGAGUGAAGAAGGUCUUCGGAUCGUAAAACUCUGUUAUUAGGGAAGAACAAAUGUGUAAGUAACUAUGCACGUCUUGACGGUACCUAAUCAGAAAGCCACGGCUAACUACGUG
This 497-nucleotide ribosomal RNA is filed under the name uncultured bacterium. Its description in RNAcentral is "partial 16S ribosomal RNA". It matches the Rfam family "Bacterial small subunit ribosomal RNA", at positions 28 to 507 of the family's 1533-position model. The record is from RNAcentral.